UGCCCACUUCUCUCGGGUGGUCGUCUCGGGUCCUCUGACUCUGCUCAGGAGAAUGAAGAGGAAGAAGUGGAGAAGGAACCUGUGGCUGUUGGAGAAGUAAUGCCUGAAGGAAUGAAAGCUUUGCCUAAGGACGUGCCACCCAAGCUGGAGACUCCCAGAAACCUGUCACCUGUGUUCCUCUCCUUCCUGCAGUCUUGCCUGAACUGGAAUGUGAGGCCCCGAUGGCCCACCAGGCUGCUUCUGCAGGUAAAGUGGCUGCAGGGCACAAACGUGACAGCAGAACCUCUGCUGGCUCCCUCUAUUUCCGGACAAGACAUUAAAGAAGAGGAAGUGGACAAUGAACUUGUGGCUGU
Molecule: long non-coding RNA, 353 nt
Organism: Pseudopipra pipra
Lineage: Eukaryota; Metazoa; Chordata; Aves; Passeriformes; Pipridae
Exons: 3
Source: RefSeq, a predicted model, not a curated record